This 275-nucleotide ribosomal RNA is filed under the name uncultured bacterium. RNAcentral describes it as "partial 16S ribosomal RNA". It matches the Rfam family "Bacterial small subunit ribosomal RNA", at positions 399 to 691 of the family's 1533-position model. The record is from RNAcentral.
GCGUGGAUGAAGAAGGCCCUAGGGUUGUAAAAUCCUUUCAGCGGGGAAGAUAAUGACGGUACCCGCAGAAGAAGCCCCGGCUAAUUUCGUGCCAGCAGCCGCGGUAAUACGAAAGGGGCUAGCGUUGUUCGGAAUUACUGGGCGUAAAGCGCACGUAGGCGGCCUUGUAAGUUGGGGGUGAAAUCCCGGGGCUCAACCCCGGAAUUGCCUUCAAAACUACAAAGCUGGAGGAUGCGAGAGGUGAGCGGAAUUCCGAGUGUAGAGGUGAAAUUCGU